CAAGGUUAGAAAAGGCUCCAGGCCUGGGUCUCUGCUGCCACACUGGCCAGCAGGGCUGCUUGCCUGGAGGCUGGUGGGGGCGGGGGCCUCAAGAACAGGCGCAGUUCUCAGCCAUUCCAUUCCACUCACAGACCUGACUGCCAGCCAGGGACCAAGCAGCUCUUCUGUGACACAGUGAGCACUGGGUUGGGAGUCCUCACACCGCUUACGGAAUUAAGCUGCGGGAUUCCGCAAGACAGGAGAGCAGCCUCGAGGGACAAAAGCCACUUCUGACGACAGCACUUGUUCCCCAGACAGACAGCACACCACAGUUGGCAGGGUCGGUCUGACAUGGAGCGGGGAGCACGUGGGGCGGGGGCAGUGCCAGAGGGAGCCCAGGGUCCCCACAGCAGUGGGUUCCGGUGCUCCCAGGGAUUAUAAAUAAACAGGCACAUGGGAAAUGCA
RNAcentral lists this long non-coding RNA (444 nucleotides) under Homo sapiens (human). RNAcentral describes it as "HSALNT0362990". Lineage: Eukaryota; Metazoa; Chordata; Mammalia; Primates; Hominidae. The record is from RNAcentral.